This 975-nucleotide long non-coding RNA is filed under the name Prunus persica (peach). RNAcentral describes it as "long non-coding RNA (PPER_LNC003976)". Lineage: Eukaryota; Viridiplantae; Streptophyta; Magnoliopsida; Rosales; Rosaceae. The record is from RNAcentral.
AUGCAACAGAUGGACUCCUCAUAUGGUCAGCAAUUGAGACAUUGGUCCGAACCUAUGUCAAUUACUACUAUCCUGAUGCAAGUGCGGUUAAUUUUGAUACAGAACUGCAGGCCUGGUACAAUGAGUCAAUCAAUUUAGGCCAUGCUGAUCUUCGCCAUGCUAGCUGGUGGCCUAAACUCUCUACUCCAGAUGAUCUUACAUCCAUUCUCACCACCAUCAUUUGGGUCACAUCGGCACAGCAUGCUGCCUUGAACAAUGGGCAGUAUCCAUAUGGCGGGUAUGUCCCGACCCGCUCACCACACAUGCGGAGACUACUGCCAGAGGAGCAUGACCCAGAGUAUACUACUUUCAUGCAGGAUCCACAGAAAUACUUCCUAUCAUCAUUCCCCAGUUUACUCGAAGCAACAAAGUACAUGGCUGCAAUAGACAUCAUUUCAGCACACUCACCGGAUGAGGAGUAUAUUGGGGACAGAAAGGACUUGUCAACCUGGUCAGCUGACACAGUGAUUAUUGAGGCGUUCUACAGAUUUUCUAUGGAGAUGAGGAGGAUAGAAAAAGAGAUUGAACGAAGAAAUACUGAUUCAAACCUUAGGAACAGAUGUGGGGCUGGGGUUUCCCCAUACGAGUUGCUCAUGCCAAGCUCAGAACCUGGGGUUACAUGUAGAGGAGUGCCCAAUAGUAUAUCAAUCUGAGUCAAUUUGACACAAAAGUUGGCUAUGAGCCUAAAUCAACCGGAAUUUCUAAACUUGGCACUGAGCCUAGUGUCCUUUUUCCAUGAUACUCAGCCUAAAAAUGAAACCUAGUUGAGCUCAGUCAAACCCAAAACUCAGAAAUACUCAUCAAUCAGGAAGAAUUCAUCCCCCUAAACCUCAUCAAAAUCCGAAGUAUGUGCUCCUAUAGUAGCAUAAGUAGGCAAUUAGGAAAAGUGGUUGAUGAUUCAAAGCCAAUUAUGGUCCCACACCAAAAAUAUUGCGC